This 292-nucleotide ribosomal RNA is filed under the name uncultured bacterium. Its description in RNAcentral is "partial 16S ribosomal RNA". It matches the Rfam family "Bacterial small subunit ribosomal RNA", at positions 505 to 796 of the family's 1533-position model. The record is from RNAcentral.
GUGCCAGCAGCCGCGGUAAGACAGAGGUGGCAAGCGUUGUUCGGAAUUACUGGGCUUAAAGGGCGCGUAGGUGGUGGCGUAAGUCCGGGGUGGAAGUCUGAGGCUUAACCUCAGGAUUGCCCCGGAAACUGCAUCACUUGAGUCAGCGAGGGGAUGGCGGAAUUCCCGGUGUAGCGGUGAAAUGCGUAGAUAUCGGGAGGAAGGCCGGUGGCGAAGGCGGCCAUCUGGCGCUGAACUGACACUGAGGCGCGAAAGCGUGGGGAGCAAACAGGAUUAGAAACCCGCGUAGUCC